RNAcentral lists this ribosomal RNA (1352 nucleotides) under metagenome. Its description in RNAcentral is "bacterial LSU rRNA". It matches the Rfam family "Bacterial large subunit ribosomal RNA", at positions 1564 to 2925 of the family's 2925-position model. The record is from RNAcentral.
CGAGUCCGAGUCUCCACGGAGACGAAGUGGCGGUCAUCCAGCUUCCUAGAAAAGCUCUAACCACGUUAAUCUUUAGUUGCCUGUACCCGAAACCGACACAGGUAGGGGGGUAGAGAAUACCAAGGGGCGCGAGAUAACUCUCUCUAAGGAACUCGGCAAAAUGACCCCGUAACUUCGGGAGAAGGGGUACCACUGAGAAGUGGUCGCAGUGAAGAGGCCCAGGCGACUGUUUACCAAAAACACAGGUCUCCGCCAAGUCGCAAGACGAAGUAUGGGGGCUGACGCCUGCCCAGUGCCGGAAGGUUAAGGAAGUGGGUUAGGGAUUCGUCCCGAAGCUGACGACUGAAGCCCCGGUGAACGGCGGCCGUAACUAUAACGGUCCUAAGGUAGCGAAAUUCCUUGUCGGGUAAGUUCCGACCCGCACGAAAGGCGUAACGAUCUGGGCGCUGUCUCGGAGAGAGGCUCAGCGAAAUAGGAAUGUCUGUGAAGAUACGGACUACCUGCACCUGGACAGAAAGACCCUAUGAAGCUUUACUGUAGCUUGGAAUUGGGUUCGGGCUUGUUUUGCGCAGGAUAGGUGGGAGGCGAAGAAGAUUUGCUUGUGGGUGAAUCUGAGCCAACGGUGAGAUACCACUCUAACCAGGCUAGAAUUCUAACUUCAACCCGUCAACCGGGGGAAGGACAGUUUCAGGUGGGCAGUUUGACUGGGGCGGUCGCCCCCUAAAAGAUAACGGAGGCGCACAAAGGUUCCCUCAGGCUGGUUGGAAAUCAGCCAACGAGUGCAAAGGCAGAAGGGAGCUUGACUGCGAGACCUACAAGUCAAGCAGGGUGGAAACACGGUCUUAGUGAUCCGACGGCACCGAGUGGAAGGGCCGUCGCUCAACGGAUAAAAGUUACUCUAGGAUAACAGGCUGAUCUCCCCCAAGAGUUCACAUCGACGGGGAGGUUUGGCACCUCGAUGUCGGCUCAUCGCAACCUGGGGCGGAAGUACGUCCCAAGGGUUGGGCUGUUCGCCCAUUAAAGCGGUACGUGAGCUGGGUUCAGAACGUCGUGAGACAGUUCGGUCCAUAUCCGGUGUAGGCGCAAGAACAUUGAGAGGAGUCUUCCUUAGUACGAGAGGACCGGGAAGAACGCACCGCUGGUGUACCUGUUAUCGUGCCAACGGUAAACGCAGGGUAGCCAAGUGCGGAGUGGAUAACCGCUGAAAGCAUCUAAGUGGGAAGCCCACCUCAAGAUGAGUGUUCUCAUGGAGUAAUCCAGUAAGGUCACGGGAAGACGACCCGUUGAUAGGCGGUAGGUGGAAGUUCAGCAAUGGAUGAAGCCGAGCCGUACUAACAGACCGAGGGCUUGAU